This 971-nucleotide ribosomal RNA is filed under the name Lactobacillus gasseri. Its description in RNAcentral is "bacterial SSU rRNA". It matches the Rfam family "Bacterial small subunit ribosomal RNA", at positions 8 to 929 of the family's 1533-position model. Lineage: Bacteria; Bacillati; Bacillota; Bacilli; Lactobacillales; Lactobacillaceae. The record is from RNAcentral.
AGAGUUUGAUCAUGGCUCAGGACGAACGCUGGCGGCGUGCCUAAUACAUGCAAGUCGAGCGAGCUUGCCUAGAUGAAUUUGGUGCUUGCACCAGAUGAAACUAGAUACAAGCGAGCGGCGGACGGGUGAGUAACACGUGGGUAACCUGCCCAAGAGACUGGGAUAACACCUGGAAACAGAUGCUAAUACCGGAUAACAACACUAGACGCAUGUCUAGAGUUUAAAAGAUGGUUCUGCUAUCACUCUUGGAUGGACCUGCGGUGCAUUAGCUAGUUGGUAAGGUAACGGCUUACCAAGGCAAUGAUGCAUAGCCCGAGUUGAGAGACUGAUCGGCCCACAUUGGGAACUGAGACACGGCCCAAACUCCUACGGGAGGCAGCAGUAGGGGAAUCUUCCACAAUGGACGCAAGUCUGAUGGAGCAACGCCGCGUGAGUGAAGAAGGGUUUCGGCUCGUAAAGCUCUGUUGGUAGUGAAGAAAAGAUAGAGGUAAGUAACUGGCCUUUAUUUGACGGUAAUUACUUUAGAAAGUCACGGCUAACUACGUGCCAGCAGCCGCGGUAAUACGUAGGUGGCAAGCGUUGUCCGGAUUUAUUGGGCGUAAAGCGAGUGCAGGCCGGUUCAAUAAGGUCUGAUGUGAAAGCCUUCGGCUCAACCGGAGAAUUGCAUCAGAAACUGUUGAACUUGAGUGCAGAAGAGGAGAGUGGAACUCCAUGUGUAGCGGUGGAAUGCGUAGAUAUAUGGAAGAACACCAGUGGCGAAGGCGGCUCUCUGGUCUGCAACUGACGCUGAGGCUCGAAAGCAUGGGUAGCGAACAGGAUUAGAUACCCUGGUAGUCCAUGCCGUAAACGAUGAGUGCUAAGUGUUGGGAGGUUUCCGCCUCUCAGUGCUGCAGCUAACGCAUUAAGCACUCCGCCUGGGGAGUACGACCGCAAGGUUGAAACUCAAAGGAAUUGACGGGGGCCCGCACAAG